RNAcentral lists this non-coding RNA (557 nucleotides) under Pan troglodytes (chimpanzee). The record is from RNAcentral. Lineage: Eukaryota; Metazoa; Chordata; Mammalia; Primates; Hominidae.
AACUCCGCGGCGGCGGGCGGCCACGUGACUGCAGCUCCGCUCCCACCUCGGCCCGCGCCCCUUCCCCGCCCCGGCUUUCUUCCCGCCAGGCCCCCUCCACCCGAUCGCCGCGCGCUCUCCGAACCAAAAGGCGACCUCACGAAAUGCCUCUUUGAGCUCAAAGGCUAGUUACCCCCAGGGGCCCUUCCACUCUCGGGGACAGGCAAAACCUCUUUGUCUCUGCCUCGGCCUGCGGCCCCCAGCCCAGCCUCCGCGCUUUCCCUCCGCCAGUCCUUGUCAAUCAAACCUGGUGCCAAACGCGGCAGCUGAAGUUUUCAGGGACACAUUUGCUUCUCCCCUUGAAGAACCAGUUACAAAGCGUGAUGUCCUCUCUGGGGUCCCACCAGAACAAAGAAACAGGCUGUACAAGAAGCAUGAUGCCAGCAUCUGCUUCUGGUGACAACCUCAAGAAGUUUACAAUUGGCCGCGUGCGGUGGCUCAUGCCUGUAAUGCCAGCACUUCGGGAGGCGGAGACAGAUGGAUCAUUUGAGGUCAGGAGUUUGAGACCAGGCUGGCCA